This 416-nucleotide ribosomal RNA is filed under the name uncultured bacterium. Its description in RNAcentral is "bacterial SSU rRNA". It matches the Rfam family "Bacterial small subunit ribosomal RNA", at positions 124 to 518 of the family's 1533-position model. The record is from RNAcentral.
ACCUGUCUUCAUGUCUGGAAUAAUACGCCGAAAGGGGUACUAAUACCGGAUAUUCUUGCUUUUUCAUAAGUUAUGCAAGCAAAGGUGGCCUCUGCAUAUGCUACUGCAUGAAGAGGGGUCUGCGUACCAUUAGCUAGUAGGUGGGGUAAUGGCCUACCUAGGCGACGAUGGUUAGCGGGUCUGAGAGGAUGAUCCGCCACACUGGCACUGGAACACGGGCCAGACUCCUACGGGAGGCAGCAGUGAGGAAUAUUGCGCAAUGGGGGAAACCCCGACGCAGCGACGCCGCGUGAGUGAAGGAAGGCCUUCGGGUCGUAAAGCUCUGUCAAGAGGAAAGAAGUGUACAAUGGCUAAUACCUGUUGUAUUUGACGGUACCUCUAAAGGAAGCACCGGCUAACUCCGUGCCAGCCGCUGC